RNAcentral lists this long non-coding RNA (1771 nucleotides) under Calidris pugnax (ruff). RNAcentral's name for it is "lncRNA (ENSCPUG00000018821.1)". Lineage: Eukaryota; Metazoa; Chordata; Aves; Charadriiformes; Scolopacidae. The record is from RNAcentral.
UUUACAAAUCUCUCCAGAAUUGGCCUCUUACCGGUUAAAAGUGAGGCGGGUGUUGGUUGAAGGAAAGCUGAUUUUUUUUGACAAACUCAGCAUGAGAAUGAGAACAGAUGGGGGCUUUGAUGAAUUGGAUAUUGCUAAAUGUUGUCCUCCUGCAAAUCAGCUUGGUUUUCCCUAUUAGCAUAAGAAGCAGGAAAAAGGAUUUAAUUUCUCUAAACAUUUCCCCUUAAUGAUCUACCUCUCCAGCUUAGAGAUUUAUAUUGCUGCUUAUCAGCGAAGCAGCUGAAUUCCUUCCACAGAGAAUCGACUGCAAUUUUGAGUUGAUUUCUGGCACUUCUCCCUCCCUGGGAUGAGAACCGUGCUUAGGAGAGGUGGUUGCUGUUUUUAAAUGGUAUCAACUCAGGCCUUUUUGUGUGGUUUUAGGUUGAUUUAACUGAGUGAUAUUUUUUAUUAAGGUGGUUUUUUUUCUUUUCCCCCCAGUAUUUAAAAGGGUCAAGAGGAGGCACCAGCACAUUGUGGAGAUGCUGUAGGCUCUUUGCCCCCAUCUGGCAGCGCUGCUGGCUCUCCCACAUCCCUGAUGCCUCUUCCACGCGUAUUAGGUCCUGCCGCCUCUCCUUCUGCACGAGCCUGUCUCACCGUGUUGGAGUCACUGGAUAAAUGGAGACCAAAGCCAAGCUUCUGUGGCCAGCUGUCUGAUAUCCUCUUCAGCCAUCCCUGUUCAUCGCGGAGGGGCCAGAGCAGCCGGGCUGUGGGAAACGGCUGGAAACUGGGAAACCAUAUGCCAGCUCUGAGGAGGCGUGAGGAAGGAUUCACUCCAAGUGGCUCAGCCCCAGCUCCAAGGACAUUACAUGUCGACGCGCAAGAGAUUUUGGGCCCAGCUGAAGAGGGACAUCACAAACAGAAGGGCUGGUUCUGCUCCAGGGCAUCCAUCACUUUUGGCAACGAGCUCCUUACGCAAUGGAAGGGCCGGUGGUCCUCCCGGUGAGUCGUGGCUGGAGAGGGGGCACGGGGGGGGAGCCAGGACAACCCGGCUGGGGGGACAGGGCUCAUCACAAGGUGAUGGAUAGUGACCCACGUGGUGUGACCCUCUCUGGGGACAGCACGCUUGGCGUGGGUGAGUACAUCCCUGUGGUCUGGCCCGGAAAGGGUUGGAUGGUUUCCUCCGAGUCCAUUCCCCCAUCCCCAUCUCCGGUGCCAAGGGGGGCUGCUCUGGGUGGUGGGGCUGUGGCUGCUGAGCCCUGCGUUCCUCGCUGAGGUGUCCCUCUCCCUCCUUUGCCAUUAACAUUUUUCUCAACGUCACGUUCAAGGGGAGGGCUGGAAAAGCUGAGCCGCGCCGAGCCCUAACCCAACAGCUGGGCUGCAGAUGUGCUGAGAAACCCACGCCAGCCCACGUGUCCCCAUCCCCUCUAGCCCCAGCUGCCCUCCGGGCACGGGGGGUGCACCCUUGAAGAGGGCUCAUCCUUAAUUUUCCACAGCACCCUGCACCCCUGCACCCCUCUGUGGACCGCUUUGUGGUCCGCUGGGAGAGAAAAAGCAUGAGAUUGAAACAACCACCAGCACUCUCAGAAAUAAUACAUGUUGUUUUUCCCCUUGACCCAGAGAAUUAUUAUUUCAGCUUGCUGGGGGUGGCUGUGCUUAUCCUCUGGCUGUGCUUUUGGCAGCUCCAUGUGCUGCCCCGGUGGGUGCGAUACGGCCCCUUCCCCGCGGCGAGGAGGGAGACUCAGCACCCCACCGCCUGGAAAAGCAUCAGGGCUCGGGCAAAGCGGUCCCUCUG